Molecule: ribosomal RNA, 301 nt
Filed under: uncultured bacterium
Lineage: Bacteria
Description: partial 16S ribosomal RNA
Rfam family: Bacterial small subunit ribosomal RNA
Source: RNAcentral
CAGCCGCCACGGGAAUACGUAGGGUGCGAGCGUUAAUCGGAAUUACUGGGCGUAAAGCGUGCGCAGGCGGUUAUAUAAGACAGAUGUGAAAUCCCCGGGCUCAACCUGGGACCUGCAUUUGUGACUGUAUAGCUAGAGUACGGUAGAGGGGGAUGGAAUUCCGCGUGUAGCAGUGAAAUGCGUAGAUAUGCGGAGGAACACCGAUGGCGAAGGCAAUCCCCUGGACCUGUACUGACGCUCAUGCACGAAAGCGUGGGGAGCAAACAGGAUUAGAUACCCGGGUAGUCCCUGUCUCUUAUAC